This is a long non-coding RNA of Puntigrus tetrazona (Sumatra barb), 366 nucleotides long. RefSeq lists it as uncharacterized. The record is from RefSeq and is a predicted model, not a curated record. The transcript has 4 exons. Lineage: Eukaryota; Metazoa; Chordata; Actinopteri; Cypriniformes; Cyprinidae.
CGGGAUCACAACUGGCUUCUCAACGGGAUGAUUGAGGGUUUCUUCCACUGUUUUUUCACCUGAGCCCUUGCUUGGCUCAGUAUCCAUGGUUGCAGUUUCCUCUUUGCUAGAUGCCGACUUCUCCUCUGGAACAGCAAACUAACAAGCUGUGGACACUAAUGACUUGUAUGAGAAAUUGGUGGAGAGCUGCACAAUCAUAUCCAUGAUUAAGAUCCUCUUUAAUCACAGCAGAUAACAUGAAUUGCAGUCGUUCAAGCUGUGCCGGGUCAGCCCUGUUGCCCUGGAGCUGCAUAAGGGUGGCUAUCUGCAUCUAAACCAGAAAACAAUAUUGUGAGAAAACUCGAAAAAUGUAAAUGUAGAAAAACA